GUUGUAUAGUUAAGUGACUAAGCGUACAAGGUGGAUGCCUUGGCAAUCAGAGGCGAAGAAGGACGUGCUAAUCUGCGAAAAGCUUGGAUGAGUCGAUAAGAGGCGUUUAAUCCAAGAUAUCCGAAUGGGGAAACCCAGUAGAUGAAGAAUCUACUAUUAACAAGUGAAUUCAUAGCUUGUUGAGGCAAACCGGGAGAACUGAAACAUCUAAGUACCCCGAGGAAAAGAAAUCAACCGAGAUUUCGUCAGUAGCGGCGAGCGAAAGCGAAAGAGCCAGUAAGUGAUAGCAGUAUAGUUAGGAGAAUGUGUUGGGAAACACAAUCAAAGAGGGUGAUAAUCCCGUAUCUAAAAACCAUAUUGUGGUACUAAGCUAACGAGAAGUAGGGCGGGACACGUGAUAUCCUGUUUGAAGAAGGGGGGACCAUCCUCCAAGGCUAAAUACUCCUGAUUGACCGAUAGUGAACCAGUACUGUGAAGGAAAGGCGAAAAGAACCCCGGUGAGGGGAGUGAAAUAGAACCUGAAACCUUGUACGUACAAGCAGUGGGAGCCUGAAAGGGUGACUGCGUACCUUUUGUAUAAUGGGUCAGCGACUUAUAUUUUGUAGCGAGGUUAACCGAAUAGGGGAGCCGAAGGGAAACCGAGUCUUAACUGGGCGAAGAGUUGCAAGGUAUAGACCCGAAACCCGGUGAUCUAGCCAUGGGCAGGUUGAAGGUUGGGUAACACUAACUGGAGGACCGAACCGACUAAUGUUGAAAAAUUAGCGGAUGACUUGUGGCUGGGGGUGAAAGGCCAAUCAAACCGGGAGAUAGCUGGUUCUCCCCGAAAUCUAUUUAGGUAGAGCCUUGAGGUGACACCUUUGGGGGUAGAGCACUGUUUCGGCUAGGGGUCCAUCCCGGAUUACCAACCCGAUGCAAAC
This 917-nucleotide ribosomal RNA is filed under the name Haemophilus influenzae. RNAcentral describes it as "bacterial LSU rRNA". It matches the Rfam family "Bacterial large subunit ribosomal RNA", at positions 1 to 954 of the family's 2925-position model. Lineage: Bacteria; Pseudomonadati; Pseudomonadota; Gammaproteobacteria; Pasteurellales; Pasteurellaceae. The record is from RNAcentral.